ACACGACCGUACCGCAAACCGACACUGGUGCGCGAGAUGAGUAUUCUAAGGCGCUUGAGAGAACUCAGGAGAAGGAACUCGGCAAAUUGACACCGUAACUUCGGAAGAAGGUGUGCCUUUAGUAGGUGAACCUGUACAAGGGGAGCCCAAUGAGGUUGCAAAAAAUCGGUGGCUGCGACUGUUUAAUAAAAACACAGCACUCUGCAAAGACGAAAGUCGACGUAUAGGGUGUGACGCCUGCCCGGUGCUGGAAGAUUAAAUGAUGGGGUGCAAGCUCUUGAUUGAAGUCCCAGUAAACGGCGGCCGUAACGAUAACGGUCCUAAGGUAGCGAAAUUCCUUGUCGGGUAAGUUCCGACCUGCACGAAUGGCGUAACGAUGGCCACACAGUCUCCUCCAGAGACUCAGCGAAGUUGAAAUGUUUGUGAUGAUGCAAUCUCCCCGCGGAAAGACGGAAAGACCCCAUGAACCUUUACUGCAGCUUUACAUUGGACUUUGAACAGAUCUGUGUAGGAUAGGUGGGAGGCUUUGAAGUGAGGACGCUAGUUCUCAUGGAGCCAACCUUGAAAUACCACCCUGGUGUGUUUGAGGUUCUAACCUUGGCCCGUGAUCCGGGUUGGGGACAGUGUAUGGUAGGCAGUUUGACUGGGGCGGUCUCCUCCCAAAGCGUAACGGAGGAGUUCGAAGGUACGCUAGGUACGGUCGGACAUCGUGCUAAUAGUGCAAUGGCAUAAGCGUGCUUAACUGCGAGACUGACAAGUCGAGCAGAUGCGAAAGCAGGACAUAGUGAUCCGGUGGUUCUGUAUGGAAGGGCCAUCGCUCAACGGAUAAAAGGUACUCUGGGGAUAACAGGCUGAUACCGCCCAAGAGUUCAUAUCGACGGCGGUGUUUGGCACCUCGAUGUCGGCUCAUCUCAUCCUGGGGCUGUAGCCGGUCCCAAGGGUAUGGCUGUUCGCCAUUUAAAGAGGUACGUGAGCUGGGUUUAAAACGUCGUGAGACAGUUUGGUCCCUAUCUUCCGUGGGCGCUGCAGAUUUGAGGAAGCCUGCUCCUAGUACGAGAGGACCGGAGUGGACACACCUCUGGUGUAUCGGUUGUCACGCCAGUGGCAUUGCCGAGUAGCUAUGUGCGGAAGAGAUAACCGCUGAAAGCAUCUAAGCGGGAAACUCGUUUCAAGAUGAGAUCUGCCGGGGCCUUGAGCCCCCUAAAGAGUCGUUCAAGACCAGGACGUUGAUAGGUCGGAUGUGGAAGCGCAGUAAUGCGUUAAGCUAACCGAUACUAAUUGCUCGUGCGGCUUGAUC
This 1297-nucleotide ribosomal RNA is filed under the name metagenome. RNAcentral describes it as "bacterial LSU rRNA". It matches the Rfam family "Bacterial large subunit ribosomal RNA", at positions 1636 to 2925 of the family's 2925-position model. The record is from RNAcentral.